This is a long non-coding RNA of Dreissena polymorpha, 3745 nucleotides long. RefSeq lists it as uncharacterized. Lineage: Eukaryota; Metazoa; Mollusca; Bivalvia; Myida; Dreissenidae. The record is from RefSeq and is a predicted model, not a curated record. The transcript is spliced from 3 exons.
CGAUAGGUAAGUCCCCUAACCAUUGCAAAACGUACACUGGGGCACCAGAUCACUGGGAUAUAAGUCAUCCGUUUACAUUCUGCACAGUAUGCAACCACAGCAGAUUUGCUUAUUUCCCUCACAGACAACCCGAAUAUCAAGGCGUUAAGUUUGUUCUGGAUGCAGUUACAAUCACAGCUUUCAAGCCAGCAGCUGUCGAUGUAUUGAGAGUCUCUCCUCUCCAUGUUAUCUGACCUGCUGCCUGUGAACAUCCUGCACAUAGAACCUUUAUCCCAUUCGAUGUAAUUAAACCGGCCAAUCAAAAAGACAGCCUGAAAUACUCCUCAUCUUGAAAUAUUGGGAAGGCAGGAAAACGCCUGUCACUGUUAAGAUAAAAAUGAGGGAAUGACAAAGCACAGUAUGACCAGUUAAGUCCUGUGAUAAGCCAAGUCCUGUGGCCAGACAUGUCAUGUGGCCAGCCAAGUCCUGUGAUCAGCCAAGUCAUGUGAUAAGCCAAGUCUUGUGGCCAGUCAAGUCAUGUGAUCAGACAAGGCAUGUGAUAAGCCAAGUCAUGUGAUCAGCCAAGUCAUGUGGCCAGCCAAGUCAUGUGAUCAGCCAAGUCCUGUGGCCAGACACGUCUUGUGGCCAGCCCAGUCCUGUGAUCAGACAAGUCCUGUGGCCAGACACGUCUUGUGGCCAGCCCAGUCCUGUAGCCAGACAAGUCAAGUGACCAGUCAAGUCAUGUGAUCAGACAAGUCCUGUGGCCAGACACGUCUUGUGGCCAGCCAAGUCCUGUGAUCAGACAAGUCCUGUGAUAAGCCAAGUAUUGUGAUCAGUCAAGUCCUGUGGCCAGACAUAUCUUGUGGCCAGCCCAGUCCUGUGAUCAGACAAGUCAUGUGAUAAGCCAAGUCUUAAGAUCAGCUUAGUUCUGUGGCCAGCCAAGUCGUGUGACCAGCCAAGUGUUUUUACCAGCCAUGUCCUAUAACCAGCAACUUUGUCUCGUGUGUACAGUCCAAUUGUAUGGGAAGAAAAAUCUUUAUUUCAUAUUGUAUGGUUAUAAUGAUACUGACAGUAUCUUGAUGAUUAAGUAUUUUGUUAUAUAUUGGUAAAAAGACCAAUAUGAUAAGGGGAAACUCAGUAAUAGCAGUAAUGUUAAGUUUUAUUUCAAGAGCAUAAUAAUGCAAGUACUACUAUUUUGUCUGUAUUCAGAAACUGACUCUAUAUAGCUUUAUCCUGAUUAUCGUAAACAGACAGACAAAAUGUUUGUACAAUUGUUGUUUUUUAAACAUUGAUUUUAAGCCUUCACAAAGUUGUUUAAAUAAUGCCGAUACCUUGGACAAUAUUGUAUGUAUUUAUUGUAUAAACAAGACAUGCUUAUUUUUAGUUUUUACCUAUAAAAUAGCAAUAUGUGCUAGGUAAAAUAAUUGAUCAGAACUAUAUCAUAAUUGUGAUGCUUCUAUUUUGAUAUGUCUGUCAUUCUGUCUGUGUUCAUUUAUCAUCUGUUUGCUCUUUUGAUGCAGUAAUUUAUCAAGAAUUUCAUGUAGUGAUGUAAUAGUACAAUAUCAUAUAAUUAUUUGAUUUAUUCAAACUAAAUUAACCUUCUGUUAAUUAUCAAUUUAUUUAUUGACAACAGAUACUUUGUUUAAUAUUAACAAUAGUUAAGCGCGUGAUACAAAUUGUGUGAAUGUACAUGCAUAAUAUUGCGAUAAUUGAUGCACACAUUAAUGAAACUAUUUAAAUAAAGUGGAAUUUAGAAGUGCAUCUUAAUUGUAAUGGAGUUUGUUUAAUUAUUAAAAAAGUAUGCUUUCAUUGUUGAAAAUAUGAUAGUAAUUCCUCCACAAGUAAUUUUGUUUCAAAGUAUUUUCAUGAAUAAUGAUCAUAGAUAUGGUUGCAGAUUGUUCUUGUUGUAUCAUAUACUGAAAUGCUCAUCAUUUGUGUUGACAUUGGCAUUCUAGCAUUAAAAGUUCAUUAUGCUUUAAAUAUUUGUAUGUACACAUUUGUGACCAGCUUUUCUAAUGUAAUAAGUGAAUAACGUAACACAGAUUUAUGUGUCACUGUAUAUACGUUUAUUUUGUCAUUUGUAAAUAGAUCCAGUGCAAAGAUAAUGUUUUUGUUUGUACAUUAUUCAUAAAAUGUUGCCAUUUCAAACAGAUACAUUCACUGUUUGAAAUCAUUUGUACAAAAUUGUUUCAUAUUAAACAUCAUUUACAUAUCAGGCAAUAGAGAAAAAGAAUUGCUUUGGAUGAAUGAGCACAUUAACCUGUAUAGUAAAUUAAGAUAUGCAGAAUAUCAGAUGAUUAACAUAAUAAUAUACUUUAAGCAUAAGAAACACCUUGUUUUAUGUUAAGCUUUUCAGUUAAUAUAAUUAAGCAACUACUAUCUGGAAAUUUGGAAAACAGUGAAGAACGAUUCAAGGGAGAGCAACUGUGAUAAACUUAAUAAAAGUCGUCUCCCUUGUUAGCGUAAAAUUGUACCUCUCAACAUAACAAGAACAUUGAUUUUUUUUAAUUAUUCCACACUAUAAACUAUAUACUAUAUUCAUUGAGUAUAAUUGUACCUCUAAACGUAACAAGAACAUUGAAUCUUUUUUUAUUAUUCCACACUAUAAACUAUAUAUUAUAUUCAUUCAAUAAUCACUAAAGAAAUAUGGUUUGCAUAAUUGUUUAUUUCUAUGCGUUAUACCAAAUUCACCAGUAUGGCAUCAAUUUAAGUUCAUCAUAUUUUAAUUGCCAAAAUUGGCCAUACAGUGCUAAAAGUUUGGUAUUCUGACUAUUAUAAGUGCAUGUUCUCAUACAAAAUCAUAUUGUAUAUUUUAACACUGAAGCAAUAUGUGUUAUAUAUUUAUUUUUAUUUAUUGACUUGUUGUUGCUUGUUAAGGUGUCUAAUUUUGAAUUAUAGCUGUUAAUUGAUUGUGACUAUUUUCCAGUUUUGAAUUAUUGCUUUUAGUUGAUUGUUUACAAGUUUGUAAAAGCUGUUUUCAUGUUGACUGCUCCACAUUAGAUGUCAUUGACGCGCAUUCACUGCGGCCAGGUUCCGUAAAACUCCCAACUCAUCUGAUGUCUUAGUAUUAGAUUCCAUACAUACGUGGUUGUUUAUAUCAGCUUGCUUUGCAUUAAACAUUUCUGCUUUGUUGUUGAACAAUUAUACACAGCUUUUUAUUGGACAAAAUUGUGUAAUAUUUUAAAUUUUUGCUUUCAAUUUUUCCAACAAAAAUAUAUUUUGUUUGUAUGUAUAUUUAGCUAUUAUAAAAUUGUUUCUAUAAUAUAUAAACAACCUAUUUAUAAGCAAUAAAAUAUAUUGGUAAAAGUAGAUUUAAGGUUCAAAAUCAUGUCUUAAUUUGUUCGAUUAUCCCAAAUUAACAUUUUGCAAUAGCAAAACUUUUUGAAUAAAGAAAACUUUAUGCAACGUACCACCAGGUCUUUUAACCAUUGAUUGUGUAUUACUAACGAUCAGGACUUAAUCAGGGAUUAAUAAUUGCCUUUGCACGGUUAUAAUGUUUGUGUUAUUAAAUUGAAUAAUUUCUGUAGUUUGGUGCACAUUAAUUGUUGUUUUUUUAAAGACAUAGCACAUGUCAUAGCACAUGUCAUAUAAUAUAAUAUCAUUGUAGUUUUGGUAUGUUUAGGGAUAUAAUCAUGUUAAUGUAUGUGAUUUGCUGAUCCAUUUCUUGUUGUUUCACUCCAUUUAAUGUAUAUAGCCAUGCAUAGAGCAGGAAUAUUGUUGUACUGUGAAAAAAAUGUUGUUAUAGCAAAUAAAUAAUGUAUGUUAA